Molecule: unclassified non-coding RNA, 330 nt
Filed under: soil metagenome
Description: partial contains 5.8S ribosomal RNA, internal transcribed spacer 2, and large subunit ribosomal RNA
Rfam family: 5.8S ribosomal RNA (bases 1-120)
Source: RNAcentral
GAUGAAGAACGCAGCGAAAUGCGAUAAGUAAUGUGAAUUGCAGAAUUCAGUGAAUCAUCGAAUCUUUGAACGCACAUUGCGCCCCCUGGUAUUCCGGGGGGCAUGCCUGUUCGAGCGCCAUUUCACCACUCAAGCCUCGCUUGGUAUUGGGCAACGCGGUCCGCCGCGUGCCUCAAAUCGACCGGCUGGGUCUUCUGUCCCCUAAGCGUUGUGGAAACUUUCGCUAAAGGGUGUUCGGGAGGCUACGCCGUAAAACAACCCCAUUUCUAAGGUUGACCUCGGAUCAGGUAGGGAUACCCGCUGAACUUAAGCAUAUCAAUAAGCGGAGGA